CCCCGGUAAACGGCGGCCGUAACUAUAACGGUCCUAAGGUAGCGAAAUUCCUUGUCGGGUAAGUUCCGACCUGCACGAAUGGCGUAAUGAUGGCCAGGCUGUCUCCACCCGAGACUCAGUGAAAUUGAACUCGCUGUGAAGAUGCAGUGUACCCGCGGCAAGACGGAAAGACCCCGUGAACCUUUACUAUAGCUUGACACUGAACAUUGAGCCUUGAUGUGUAGGAUAGGUGGGAGGCUUUGAAGUGUGGACGCCAGUCUGCAUGGAGCCGACCUUGAAAUACCACCCUUUAAUGUUUGAUGUUCUAACGUGGACCCGUAAUCCGGGUUGCGGACAGUGUCUGGUGGGUAGUUUGACUGGGGCGGUCUCCUCCUAAAGAGUAACGGAGGAGCACGAAGGUUGGCUAAUCCUGGUCGG
RNAcentral lists this ribosomal RNA (417 nucleotides) under Salmonella enterica. RNAcentral's name for it is "partial 23S ribosomal RNA". It matches the Rfam family "Bacterial large subunit ribosomal RNA", at positions 1918 to 2334 of the family's 2925-position model. The record is from RNAcentral. Lineage: Bacteria; Pseudomonadati; Pseudomonadota; Gammaproteobacteria; Enterobacterales; Enterobacteriaceae.